Molecule: non-coding RNA, 496 nt
Organism: Peromyscus maniculatus bairdii (prairie deer mouse)
Lineage: Eukaryota; Metazoa; Chordata; Mammalia; Rodentia; Cricetidae
Source: RefSeq, a predicted model, not a curated record
UGCAGAUAUGACAUGGGCUUUGUUGGCUCCAUCCAUCUGUUCUUCAUUAUUCAUAUACUUACAUAGUGCAACAUUUUGAUAAUUUUUUUAAAUGCUGCCUUACAGAAGCUAAGAUCUAUAGAAGAAACUUUUUAAGGGGACAAUGCUCUUCCCAGAAGCCAUAGAUCACCAAUAAAAGACCCAGUGCCAGAUGUGGGAUACCUCACCUCAAGUUGUUUGGUCAGGGCUGGCUGUCCCCAAGAGCACCAAAACAAUACAUGCUGUUAUCAUUGCUGUGCCCGUCUACCAGAACUUGAUGAUUAGCGCGGCGCUCUCGUAUAUACUUACAGAUGUUCCUUUGUGCGGCGCAUGGUGGUUAACACAGAAACUCCCAACUGUUCCAAGAGCAGAGAAAGAGUGACACCAUAGGGAGGAGACAAGGACAUCACAAUGGACAGAGUUCAAGAGGUGGGCACUGGGCAGAAAGGAAGAAAUCAGGAUUUAGAUGUUCCACACC